This is a long non-coding RNA of Diceros bicornis minor, 2423 nucleotides long. RefSeq lists it as uncharacterized. The record is from RefSeq and is a predicted model, not a curated record. Lineage: Eukaryota; Metazoa; Chordata; Mammalia; Perissodactyla; Rhinocerotidae. The transcript has 5 exons.
AGCCCAAGAUAGGGCUUUCCUCCAUGAACACUGAGCUCAAAGAGAAUGAGAGAGAUGAGCGAGGCAUACGCAAUUUUUUGUAGGCUAGAGAAUCAGGUGUAACUUUCAAGUUGAUUUCUAUUAUUGUCCACCUUCCGGAAGCCCCCUCCCAUCCAGACAGUGAGGGGAGGGGAAGGAAGAAGAGCAGCCAGUGAGACUGCAGAAGACAGUGACCACCGAGGAACUGAAGGGGAAAGAGACAGCCAGGCAUGUUCUGGAAGUAAGCUGUGAAUACCAGCUGGCAAAGUGGCUACCUGAUGGGCCUGCCUCCAGAAUGUUCUAUAGCUUCCUGUGACCACAUGCCAACUAACCUAGACAACAGAGUUGUCCUUUCUCACUUUCACUGGUGGACCACACUGCAUGCCUGCAGAGUAGAAGAGGAUGAACCUCCACUUAGCAAGGCCAGGCAGGGUGUGGCUCUGCAUCUGCGAGCAGACGGGGUGAUUUUGGAUGGCCGCGAGAGCACAGAUGACCACGCCAUCGUCCGGUGUGAGUGGACACUGCUGCAGGGUGUCCCUUCAGCGGACGGGAAGUCAGGAACCCUGAAGCUGUCCCACUUAUAGGAAGAAGCAUUCACCUUUCAGCUCGCUGUGAUGGACACUGCUGGGCAGAGAAGCUGUGACAAUGUCUCGGUGACAGUGCUUCCCAUGGCCUUCUCCAUGGGAGGUGAGAAGAAAGUCCUUCCCUCACAUUCCCAAAGGGUGUUUGAGCAUGUGCUCACACUACUCCUUCUUGUGAUGAUGGCAGUUGCAUUGAUAUCACGCUGGCUUGAGAUGGAGUGGAGCAGUGUCCUGACGGGUCUGAUGAAGCUUUCUGUCAACAUUGUGAGUCAGCUGCCUCGCAUUUUCAGGCCAGGGGAUGGAAGGGAUAUCUGUGUAUCCAUAAUACAAGGUAAGCUCAAUAUUGUUUUUCUGCCUGGUUUCAGGUAUAACUUUAUGUGAACAAGCUAUGUCUGAAAUUAAAUGAGCAUUUAUCAUGAGUCUAUAGUCCCAGUGGCAAAUGUCAAAUUUUUGAUAUUGCUUACAUUUUUCAAAAAUUGCUUUCAAUUUUCCAAAAAAUUCUUCACCAUUAUAAAAAUGCUGUAUAGCAUAUGCUCUUUUAAAACCUGAAGUGAGUUAACAUUUUGUUUUGAUAAAUUUUUUAGAAAAUGUAUGACCUACUUGGGUGUGGCUCAGUCAGAGCUGUAAACCAGUCUUAUAAUGUCACGUACAGAAAAGUCAUCGCAAGGAAGAAGAAAACCUGCAGAAAGUUCCGUGAAGUUUUGGCUUGAGGAAGGAUGAAGAAUUGCAAAUCCUAGUUUUAAGUUUUGUCUUUGUCAAUUUAUGUGUGACAUUUAGAAAGUUAAUUAUUGGAAGGAGAGAGAACAGACUACCAAUUUGGAAACGAGAGAGAGAUGUUUUUUAUGGGGCUCUGACGUGUCUUAGAUGGAUAGAUUAUUAUUCCCAAAUAUCCAUGACUUUCAAUCUACUGCAAAUUUGGUGGUUUUAGUUAAAGUUCAGAAAAGAAACCCAACAACUAACAGUAGUUAUUCCAUGCAUCAGUGAGCCUUGACCGGAAGAUGGGGACCCCCACAGCAACUGCCCAACCUAGAACCACAGGACCAAGUGAAGAUGCAAGGUGGGGGCUCCUUACUGGAGAAAUCCCAGAAAGCCACUGGCCCAAACCAUCCCCCUAUGUUAUCAAACACAGAGAAGAGGAAUCAUUCUACCUUCUGGGGACCAGAGAGUCAGAUUGAUCCUGUGAUGCCAGGUAAGAACUCGAGGCAGAUUCUCCACAAAGAGCCUCAUUGCCUAUAAUGAGACACAGCUCAAAAUAACGUUUGUAUUUGAAAAGUGUUAAGGAAAAAGAAAGAAGCGAGUUAAAAUUAAGAAUUUGGACCAGAAAAAAAAAAAAACAUCUGGCAUUUGCACUGAUUAUUUAUGGUAGGGAACAUCUACUUAACAUAUUCUUACAUUCCUAUAUCUAUGCAUACAUACUCCAGAGAUACCAAUACAUUUAUUUGUACAUAUGUUAGACUUAGGAAGUUUUAACAUCUGUGUUAUGGAAACUAAUGCUCUAAGAGUUAACUUUUAGGCUAUUUUGAGAUGAAGCAGCAUACCGCCUACGUAUUCAUGUAAAUCCUCUUCACACUGAGCGAGUGAAUGUAAAGAAACUAUGACGUCAUGUUGACAUGGUCGCAUGUGCUAGUAAUUCAGUGUUAUGCCUCCAAUUUAACUAAAUCUGUAAUUGUUUUGUUUUUUUAAUAAGUCUAAAAAGAUUUUUAAAUACAUUCACACUGCAGAAACAUUACAGGAUUCUGUCAUUUUAAAUGUCUUUUUUACACAUUUAUAUUUGCAUGACUGUAUGAUAUACAUGACAGAAAUAUAGGUGAUCACAUUUCUGAA